This 676-nucleotide ribosomal RNA is filed under the name uncultured bacterium. RNAcentral's name for it is "bacterial SSU rRNA". It matches the Rfam family "Bacterial small subunit ribosomal RNA", at positions 139 to 813 of the family's 1533-position model. The record is from RNAcentral.
GGGGACAACCCGCCGAAAGGCGGGCUAAACCCGCGUACAUGCCACCGGGGCAUCCCGGAGGCAGGAAAGGCUUCGGCCGGACAGGGAUGGGCAUGCGGCGCAUUAGGCAGUAGGCGGGGUAACGGCCCACCCAACCGACGAUGCGUAGGGGUUCUGAGAGGAAGGUCCCCCACACUGGUACUGAGACACGGACCAGACUCCUACGGGAGGCAGCAGUGAGGAAUAUUGGUCAAUGGUCGGGAGACUGAACCAGCCAAGCCGCGUGAGGGAUGAAGGUACAGAGUAUCGUAAACCUCUUUUGUCAGGGAACAAAGGCGGGGACGUGUCCCCGGAUGAGUGUACCUGAAGAAAAAGCAUCGGCUAACUCCGUGCCAGCAGCCGCGGUAAUACGGAGGAUGCGAGCGUUAUCCGGAUUUAUUGGGUUUAAAGGGUGCGCAGGCGGUCUGUUAAGUCAGCGGUCAAAGCCCGGGGCUCAACCCCGGCCCGCCGUUGAAACUGGCAGUCUCGAGUUGGAGAGAAGUAUGCGGAAUGCGCGGUGUAGCGGUGAAAUGCAUAGAUAUCGCGCAGAACUCCGAUUGCGAAGGCAGCAUGCCGGCUCCACACUGACGCUGAGGCACGAAAGCGUGGGUAUCGAACAGGAUUAGAUACCCUGGUAGUCCACGCAGUAAACGAUCAA